Non-coding RNA from Cinara cedri, 286 nucleotides. Lineage: Eukaryota; Metazoa; Arthropoda; Insecta; Hemiptera; Aphididae. The record is from the annotation of a GenBank genome assembly.
AUAGAACGGGUAGGAGUAUUAAAUUUCGCUACACGUGAUUUAGGUAUACCACGGGGGAUACGAUAUUCGGUCCUUAAUCGGAUUUAAUAAUUAUUAGUGUAUACGGUGUCAUUAUCAAAUAGUAUUAUAGAGGUACCAUAGUUAUCUGUUAUUAUAAUUUAGGAAACUGAUGAUUAAGAGUUGACAACAAAAGGCUAUAGCUACAGACAUGGCUUCCUAUUCACCCAUCCUAAUCUCACCUACAGCUAUGUUUUGUCCCUCAUCGAUAAAUCGCAACGUUGGCGGU